GGUCCCGUGGUGUAGUGGUUAACAUGCCUGCCUGUCACGCAGGAGAUCGCCGGUUCGACCCCGGUCGGCCACCA
Molecule: transfer RNA, 74 nt
Filed under: Bacillus cereus
Lineage: Bacteria; Bacillati; Bacillota; Bacilli; Caryophanales; Bacillaceae
Description: tRNA-Asp
Rfam family: tRNA
About the family: Transfer RNA (tRNA) molecules are approximately 80 nucleotides in length. Their secondary structure includes four short double-helical elements and three loops (D, anti-codon, and T loops).
Source: RNAcentral